GCUGUUCCACAACCUGCAGCCCCUGCUGAUCUCUGUGCUUAGUGACAGCUCAAAUAGCUGAGCUCCACUGUGUUUCCACUCUCGGCUUGGGUUGCUAUGUGGCUGCUGCUGAUGUCCAGGAGGACAUCGUUUAUGAGGACAUGGAGACACUCUGUGGUACCCUGCGCACUCUGGCCACUGACAGCAACAAGUACCAUGCUAAGGCCAACGCUCUACUUUCCGUGCUGUGCUGAACUUUGUUGAGGGCAGUGAAUGCCAGGAAGAGACAAUCCGCUUUGGACUGAAGUGCUCUAUGUGGACAGCUGGGCUCAGCACCAGAUCUAUGCUGCCUUCAAGGAUGUACUGGGUUCCGGCAUGCACCACCACCUUCAGAACAAUGAGCUUCUUCUUGACUUCUUUGGCCUGGGCCCAGUGCUGGUGCUGGAUGACACUUCCCUGAAGGCCUGCAAAAUUUCAUGCUUUGAGAAGCACCUGUACAAUGCUGCUACCUUCAAAGGCCUGACCAAGGCUCGCAGCCGUGUAAGGGACAAGUGGGCAGACACCCUGUGAGGCGGACCAGCUGAAGAGAAGUCUAUCCACAUUGUUGCCCAUAUUUUUACAGAAGAGAGUGCAAGAACUGGUCUCUGCCAGUGAUUGUCACUUUAUUUUUUUAAUGGCAAAACCAAAAACAGAUAUAGGACAGAUGAGUGAAGGGUCAGGACUUUUGGGACCCUGGCCUUUGUCCCCGCACUCAACUCUAUGGCCUCUUCCUGCCCUUUCUCAGGUGUGAACAGUCUCAAUCAAGUUAAGUCUCAAUCAAGUCAGAACCAAUGCUGGAACCAUCUUCUGGGGUCAUGGACAGUGAACUGAAGGAGACAUUCCAGUGUGGUGUGCAGCUUAUAAGGAAGAGGGAGAGAUGUGCUUGGCCCUGGCACUUCCAGCACUGCUCUUGAGUGGAAGCCCCUCUUGCUGUCCUCCUUGAGAACCUGUGGAGAGCAGACUCUUGGGAGCUGUGUGCAGAGGCUGGAUUUGGUGCAACACCACAGUGAGGAAGAGCUGGGUUGGUGGCAUCACCAUGCUCUUCACAGGGUACUUCACCCUCUGCUGUAGCCGAAGCUUCUGGCCUCUGAAGGUGCAGCACUGGGGUAAGUAAACUUGGCCUGGAUACCACUGAAGCCCAAGCUUUGGAGCCUUGGGACCCAGGGUGAUGCCUGCACAGAUGUGGGAGGGACUCAAAGAAUCCAGUUACUGAAAUCUUAAAAAAAAAAAAAAAAAGCCGUUUCCCUUGCCCACCUUCCACCAAAGCACAAAUAAAAAUCAUAUCAGAAAACAUUUUAUUCUCAUUAAAGAUCAUAUAUUGAUAUUUGGAGGAGUGUUGGGGACUUGCCCAGGACUUCAUGCUCUGUCAAUGGGCUACACUCCUAUCCCUGAAACUGCCUUUUAAGUUUUCUGUAAAAUUUCAUUGCAUUACUACAAAUGAAGAUUGUUUGUUUGAAUUUUCUUCAAAGAAUCUUAUCCCUUGUGGGGGUUUUCUAAUAUAACCUAUUAUUCAAGACAGCUAUCCCAAUGAUAUCUUUUUCCCCUAUAAAAAUGCAUUUUAAAAAGAAGAAUAAAGUACAUCACACUACACUAAUCUAUACAACAGUCUUUUAGGUUUAACAGUAAGAAUAUUUCAAACUCAAAAAUGAGGAAAAGAACCCAAAGAUAGUAGUGAAUUUUAGAUAGGAUAGAGCACCGGCUCCUAGGGGAAUUGCUAUUCCUAUUCCUGGCUCUAGUGAAGAGUCAAUUUAAUUUUCAGGGUGGGAGGUAUCUGGAUUUUUUAUUGACUUUUUCUAUAAUAAAAUUAUGUAUUCUUAUUUUUCUCAGUAUUUCUAGUUGUAAGUUUUUAAAGUGUUUUGUAGUGCUGGUGAUGGAAUGUGAAGACUUAGGCUUUCUAACCAAGCACUCUAGCCCAGUGAUGGAAAAAAAUCUGCUAUAACCGUAUUUAGCAUGGUCUAAGAUGUAUUCUCUCAGCUGGUUUAAUGAUUUGAAAAACAAAAUCUCAUGAAUGAUCAUAAGUUUUGAAUAAUUUAGGAAUAGUCAUUAAGGAAGUCUUGUAGAUAAUAUUUCAUGAAAGAAUCACUAAAAGAAGUAUUCAAUUAUUAGAAAUAGUUUCAAAAUGUUGUGUUUACAAUAAUUAUAAUCAUUAGUGCAUAUUAAUUAUGCCAAAUAAUGAGAUUCACUAUGAGAUUUCCACAUAUGCAUAUAACAUGCUUUGAUCACAUCCUCCUUCCCUAUUAUCUUCUGUAACCCCUUCACUAUGACCGUGGUCCUCUUCCCCUUACCUGAAGGUCCACCUACUACUUUCAUAUUGUCUUUCCCCAUGCCCAGAGUCCACAUGAGAGACCAUCAACACUUGUCUUUCUGAGUGUGACUUCCUUUACAUGAUGAUGACCAGUUCCAUUCACUUUCCUGCAAAUGACCUUUCAUCUUCUUAAUGGAUGGGGCUGGGGAUAUAGCUCAGUUGGUAGAGUGCUUGCCUUGCAUUCACAAGGCCCUGGGUUUGAUUCCUAGCACCAAAACCACAACAAAAUAAAAACAAAAACAAACAAAACAACUUACAAAAUCUAGCCAGGCAUAACCUUGGUUCCAGCUCCAGGUCCCACCUCUGCCCCAAGUGUCUUUCCUGACAGUUCCUCUAUGUGACCCCUAUAUGUUGGACCAGAAGAUCUGGCUCCUCCCCUAUGGCCAGCCAUGCCCAAAGCCCCAGCCAUGUGCCUCUAGGACCCCCCCACCCGCCAUCCAGGCCUCUGUGUUGCUGCAAAUGUGGUUCUUGUGAUUCUGCGUGUGUUUUGCUGUUGGAGACACCGCCUGGAGAGCUGGGAGUUUCUUCCUUCGACAGCUGAGGUGGAAGUAAUACAAAGACCAUUGGCAUGAAGCUGAGAUUAGGCUCACAGAUCUCUGAGCCUUGUCUGUAAUGUAAUCUGGGUCAUGUUGAUGUUAGGGAAGCUUGGGAAAGUCAACCUGGAAGGUUUUUAGUCCAAGGGAUGGAACUGCUCAAGAGUGAAGAACAUCUUCUGAUGAAAUUAACAUGCGUACUGGUAAUUCUAUAGGUAGAACUAUUUGAUUAUCAACUGCUUGAAGUUGUAGUUCUCCAGGUUUUAAGUAAGAGGUGGAACCCAGGUAAGAAUCAAAAUUUAAGUCUUCAUAAUCUGUAUACUUACAGCUUCAAUAUCAUUGGUGGCCUGUUGUUUUUACUGUUAAGGAAGGGUCAUUAAUUUCAUCCAUUCUACAUAAAAUUUGUAAUGAGGGAAGCACAAUUAUAAUGAGGCUAAUGUGAAUGUAAUACUUCAGAUGGUCUAAACUUCUUGAGUAUCUGUGGUGCCUGUGUGAGUGAGUUUUGAGGUAAGUAUAAGGGAGAUAAUAUCAGGAACUACGGAGCUGAUCGAGAAUAGGAUUAAAAGUGUCUGGUUGUGAAAGUGUAAUAGUUCUUCUAUAAUAGAUGAUGUAGCAUCUUGAAAUCCUAGUUCAAUUUGGUAAGCCAUGAAGAUAAAAAGGAUUCUAACCUAUAAAUUAACUUUGACAAAGUUAUGUAAAUUUUCACUAACAUCUUAUAAAGAAAGUUAUAAUGGUUAUGGGGCUGGCUUGAAAGUAGUCAUAGGAGUUUGGAUUCUUCUCUUUCUUGAAUUAUGUUUUAACAUAGGUUGGUUCUUCAAAUGUGGUAAGGUGGAGGGAUCCAUGUAGUCACUCCGGGUUAGUUGUUGACAGUCUAAAAUUAGGACUUCUCGUUUUGAUGUGAUGCCCCUCACAUUAUAACAAUUAUAAUUAUUACAGCUGUAAGAGAGAUAAAUGACCCUUUGAAGGAUUCAGUAUUUCAUGUUGUAUACAUGUCUGGGUAGUCAGUAUUGUUGUGGUAUGCCAGAUAAUCCUAGGAAAAGUAUUGGGAAGAAAUUGAAAUUCACUCCUACAAUAUAAAAGUGAAGUGAAUUUUAGCUCAUGUAGCAUCUAGGGUAUAACCAGAGAACAGAGGGAAUCAAUGAACAUAUUGUCCCAUUAUUGCAAACACAGCCCCAUGGGUAGGACUUAGUGAAAAUGAGCUACUACAUAAUAUGUAGUAUGUAAUGCAAUGUCUAUUGCUGAGUCAGCUAGAACAAUUCCUGUGUGGCCUCCUACAGUAAGUAGGCAAACAAAGCCCAGGGCCCUUUAAUAUUGCCACUGUGUAAAGUUGCCAGUCAGCUGAAAACUCUGGUUGGAAUAGCCGUAAUUAUGGUUGCUGAUGUGAAGUAUGCUCAGGUGACCACAGCCAUUCCUACAGUAAGUAUAUGGUGUGCUCAUAUGAUGAAUCCUAAAAAGCGAAUGGAUGUUGUAGCUCAAACUAUCCCAUAUAUCCAAAAGAAUAGAAUCAGAACGUAUAUUUCUGGAUGUCCAAGAAACAGAAUAGGUGUUGAUAAAGCAUAGGUUUUCCCUCCGGCAUGGUCGAAAAACAUCAUAUUUAGGUUAGGAUCUGUGAGGAGUAUGGACAUUCCUGCUGCAGGAACUGGGAAGGAUGGGAGGAGUAGCAUGGCUGUAAUUAUUACUGCUCAUACAAAGAGUGGAGUCUGGAAUUGUGAUACGGCAGGGGGUUUUAUGUUCAUAAUGGUAGUAAUAAAAUUAAUUGCCCCUAGGAUGGAUGAAACACCUGCUCAGUGGAGUGAGAAAAUAGAUCUACUGAGGCUCCUGUGUGUGCAAGGUUCCCAGCUAGUGGGGGAUAUACUGCUCAACCGGUUCUUGUGCCUGCUUCAACUACAGAGGAGGCGAGAAGGAGAAGAAAUGAUGGAGUUUUCGGCGGACACAACAUCUUUGUUUGUAUGUGGUGCUGAGGAUCCAACCCGGGCCGCACACAUGCCAGGUGAGCGCGCUACCGCUUGAGCCACAUCCCCAGCCCCAGAAUGUUUUUAAAAUCUCCAUUUCACACUAAAACCUGUGCUGAUGA
Long non-coding RNA from Marmota monax (woodchuck), 4930 nucleotides. RefSeq lists it as uncharacterized. NCBI's taxonomy places the organism in Eukaryota, Metazoa, Chordata, Mammalia, Rodentia, Sciuridae. The transcript is spliced from 6 exons. The record is from RefSeq and is a predicted model, not a curated record.